Molecule: long non-coding RNA, 1087 nt
Organism: Coregonus clupeaformis (lake whitefish)
Lineage: Eukaryota; Metazoa; Chordata; Actinopteri; Salmoniformes; Salmonidae
Exons: 3
Source: RefSeq, a predicted model, not a curated record
AAGUUGAGAAUCAAUUCACGUUCAGAUGUAGUAUUUGGCUGUUUUUGCUUCCAGAGACAUUUCACCUUUAAACAGAACAUGUAAGGUUCUUGGGCUUUAAGGAGUAACGUUAGACUACUUUAGACCAUUAUUGGGCUAGGGUAUAGGUCCUUGGGUAGGGAACAAAUUAAAUUUAAAAAACUAAAUCCGUUCUGCAGUAAAAAUCCAAUAAAUUCAAUAAUGUUGAAAAUGUGAAUGUGUGGAGACUAAAAGUAAUUUUUUUUCCAUUUCAACUUGUUGUAGAAUAAAUAGGGAAUUAUUUAAGAAAAGUGCAAGGGUGCAUAUAAACGUGUCCUGAUACUGUAGAACGCUGGCUAAUGAGUCUAUCUGAGAAAAAGUCCAAUCGUAGUGACGGAGAGCAACCUUGGGUUAAAACAGGUCCAUAUAAAGCAAUAGUUGCUAUCUGCCAAUGAGGGGCCAUGUACACGCAAAUAGAAGCAGGAAGAGAGUUUUAGACGGUGAUGUAUGAACAUUAGGAAGUAGUCAUUUUAUUUGGUUUCUUGAUCCUUGACACACACACACACAUAAAUAUUUGUGCAUAGAUACACCGUCACACACCCAGACUCAAACCCUCACAUGGCUCUUCAUCUCUCCGUCUUCCUCCUCCUCAUCAUCAUCAUCUCAGUAAUGUCAAUGCCAACCACCGAAGACUCAACAUACUUAACAUCAGAGUACAGCAUGUAUACAUCUGAAGACGUCGUUAGAUUACUCUACAGAUUGGAGCGAGCACUCUUCUAUCUGGUGAAAACCGUUAAUACAGUGCUCUUCCUCCUGUGCACCAUCAUUGCUGAAAUGAAUUUCAGGUUUAACCGACUCCAAAAUAUAAAGUUGGCACAUGGUUUUAUUUCUAGUUAAUAUUGUAAUAUUUUUGGGGGGUCUCCAAAAUAUUGCUGGGUCGCAGAAAUAUAUGGACAAAUUGAUUUUUAGUUUAGUUUUGCUCUUUUGUCACUGAUUUACCCGUGUUGAAUUGUUUUGAAUGACUAAUUACCACUGUUAACCUACAUAAAUGAAACAUGCAUAUUUUGCUAAUAAAAACAUUUUAAAGACA